This is a microRNA precursor of Gadus morhua (Atlantic cod), 56 nucleotides long. NCBI's taxonomy places the organism in Eukaryota, Metazoa, Chordata, Actinopteri, Gadiformes, Gadidae. The record is from Ensembl.
AGGUUGGGAGAGGUGACAAUGCUCUGUUUGGGAUGGUAUUGCACUUGUCCCGGCCU